CCUACGGGGUGCAGCAGUGGGGAAUAUUGGGCAAUGGACUCAAGCCUGAACCAGCAACGCAGCGUGAAGGAAGACUGCUUUCGGGUUGUAAACUUCUUUUCUGAGGGACGAAGAAUGUGACGGUACCUCAGGAAUAAACCACGGCUAACUACGUGCCAGCAGCCGCGGUAAUACGUAGGUGGCAAGCGUUAUCCGGAUUUAUUGGGUGUAAAGGGCUUGUAGGCGGGAAAGCAAGUCAGAUGUGAAAACUCAGGGCUCAACCGUGAGCCUGCAUUUGAAACUGGUUUUCUUGAGUGCUGGAGAGGUAAGCGGAAUUCCGUGUGUAGCGGUGAAAUGCGUAGAUAUACGGAAGAACACCAGUGGCGAAGGCGGAUUGCUGGACAGUAACUGACGCUGAGGCGCGAAAGCGUGGGUAGCAAACAGGAUUAGAUACCCCAGUAGUC
This 443-nucleotide ribosomal RNA is filed under the name uncultured bacterium. RNAcentral describes it as "partial 16S ribosomal RNA". It matches the Rfam family "Bacterial small subunit ribosomal RNA", at positions 338 to 795 of the family's 1533-position model. The record is from RNAcentral.